AUGCGUGUGGACACUGCUGAGUUCGGAUUCUCGUUCCCUUCCAUUCUAAAGAGAAAAACUGUAAAAAGGGAAGACGAACCAGUGUAGUACAAUGGAAAAGCCCCGGGGAUACUACUGAAGGGAAGGGGAAAAAACACAACGUACCCAUCAAGAGGAAGCUGCAUUUGCUUCACCAUCGAACAUGAUCACCAAAGCCAAAUACUGAACAUAAUACAGGAGGCCAUGGGAGGCAAGAGGCUGCAGAAAUAGAUAAUCUAUGUAUCAGUGGCCCUAAAAUUAAAAGAACAAUUGCUCUGUUGUGACAAGGUCAACGCAUGUGACUAGUGAAGCUUCUACUGGAACAUAAAUGGUUCAACGAACAUUUUGUAGAUCACAUAUAAAGCUACCCUGACAAGAAGAAAAGGAUACAUACUCGGUGCUUUAUUGAUGUUUCUUUUAGAAUUAGCUUUCUGUUAUUUCACCUUAGGACUUAAAACCUAAUAAAACAGAGAAACUUCAGAGAAUUUGACCUGAGAGAUAGAUAGGUUUUGUGACCUCCCCACAAAGCGUGGCUGUGAUCGUGAGAGAAACACCGCGGUGUGAGAUGAGAAAUGAACAGCAGGCUAUGGAAGGCCUGGAUUCCAGUCCCAGCUUUGCUUUUUAUGAGAUGUUUUCUAUCAGACAAGAAAUUUUACCUGCCUGCCACUCAGUUUUCUCAUUUAGAAAAUGAAGACAUUGAUGCAGAAUAUUUUAUAUAUUUGUUCGGCUUAAAACUAAGAUUAGUUUACCUUCAGAUAUGAAAAACACAUGAAAGUUGCAGAGAAGUCCGUGGCAUUCCAACUUGCCUGCUCUUGCUCAUUACUGAGGAGACUAAAAUAUAUAUAUAUGUGUUCUCACAGCCCAGCCCAGAACAAUUAAAGAGGACUCCCUGUGGGCAAGGCUCAGGCACUGGCAUAUUUUCAGAGCUUUCUAGGUGAUUCUGAUAUACAACCUGGGUAGAAUGGUCUGUCUGCAGGGCCCAUAUUUAAUUAAAGUGCCAUUCCAAGUACAGGUAUUGUGUUGUAUACAUAAGCUAAGAUCCUUCCCCCACCCCCUUCAUUUCUGGGCAUUCUUUUUCUAAUUCAUCCAUUAAAACUGAGUUAGUCCUUUGUUAGGUGCUCCGCAAUAUGGUAGUGUGAAGGAUACAACUACAGUAAAUAAAUUGCAACCCCUGCCAUCAGGAAACUGAUUUUAGGAUAUUAUUUUCACAGU
This is a long non-coding RNA of Tupaia belangeri chinensis (Chinese tree shrew), 1230 nucleotides long. RefSeq lists it as uncharacterized. The record is from RefSeq and is a predicted model, not a curated record. The transcript has 4 exons. Lineage: Eukaryota; Metazoa; Chordata; Mammalia; Scandentia; Tupaiidae.